GAUGAACGCUGGCGGCGUGCUUAACACAUGCAAGUCGAACGAGAACGGAAUAUAGCUUGCUAUAUUUGUCAGCUAAGUGGCGCACGGGUGAGUAAUGUAUAGAUAACCUGCCCUUAAGAAAGGAAUAACAGUUGGAAACGACUGCUAAUGCCCUAUAUGCCUUUAAUACAUAAGUAUGCAAGGGAAACGCUUUAGUGCUUAAGGAUGGGUCUGUAUGGUAUCAGCUUGUUGGUGAGGUAAUGGCUCACCAAGGCUAUGACGCCUAACUGGUUUGAGAGGAUGUUCAGUCACACUGGAACUGAGACACGGUCCAGACUCCUACGGGAGGCAGCAGUGGGGAAUAUUGCACAAUGGACGAAAGUCGGAUGCAGCAACGCCGCGUGGAGGAUGACACAUUUCGGUGCGUAAACUCCUUUUAUAUAGGAAGAUAAUGACGGUACUAUAUGAAUAAGCACCGGCUAACUCCGUGCCAGCCGCCGCCGUUA
Molecule: ribosomal RNA, 485 nt
Filed under: uncultured bacterium
Lineage: Bacteria
Description: partial 16S ribosomal RNA
Rfam family: Bacterial small subunit ribosomal RNA
Source: RNAcentral